This 582-nucleotide long non-coding RNA is filed under the name Trifolium pratense (red clover). Its description in RNAcentral is "long non-coding RNA (TPRA_LNC009482)". Lineage: Eukaryota; Viridiplantae; Streptophyta; Magnoliopsida; Fabales; Fabaceae. The record is from RNAcentral.
CGGUAUUUCUUGAUAUUCAUUUGCCGGAUCCCCCUGCUGAUCCGGAUGGUUACCCUCUUCAAACCGGUUUAUCUCUUCUUCUUCCCUCAAAGCUUCUUCUCUCGCAGCAUUCCCCUCACCGCGGGGCACAAUCGGACCUCUCUCAAACCUUUUCUCAAAGUAUGAUAAAGCUAGAGGACGGACGGGAUGUAAGUCACCUUCUUGCACAUUCAUGGGGACAUUGCUUGCUCUACACAAAGCAGCAAUUAAGUUGCAAUGCCCCAAAGUAAAAGUCGGAUUAUUAUUAUUUGCCAUUUCAUGUAAAUCCCUUUGUAACCAAAGACCAAGAUCGAUAUGGCGACCCUCAACUAACAACCGAACAGCAGCAACAUUAUCAAUCUGAAUUUCAGAGUUAUUACCAACCACCCGGACAUUCUUCAGCCAGAAUUCUCCCCAAGCACGGUGAAUAGGGUUAAAACUCGUCAAACUCAACCUAGUAGGAAGGGAUGAAGCGGAGUGCGGCAGCCAUCUAGCUCCAGGCCUGCAAACAACCGCCUUUAACUCUUCUCUUACCGCAAGGCCACCGUUAGAAAUUCGUUCCUU